UUACUGGGCUAAAUCGCGCGUACAGGUUCGUUACCUUGGAUGUGAAAUCCCCGGGCUCAUCUGGGAACUGCAUUCAAAACUGAAUGACUAGAGUAUGGUACACGGCGGUGGAAUUUCCUCUGUACUUGGUGAAAUGCGUUACAUUAUAAGAAUGAACUCCCUUGGCGAAGGCGACCACCUGGACUAAUACUGACACUGAAGUGCGAAAGCGUGAGGAGCAAAAAGGAAUAGAUACCCUGGUAGUCCACGCCCGUAAAACAUGUCAACUAACCGUUGGAAGCCUUGACCUUUUAUGGCGCGGCUAACCAUUAAUUGACCGCCCGGGGAGUACGGCCGCAAGGUUAAAACUCAAAUGAAUUUAACCGGUGCCCGCACAAGCUGGUGAACAUGUUGUUUAAUUCCAAACAACGCCAAUAACUUACCAGGUCUGAAAUCUCAUGAACUUUAUAAAAUAGAAUGAUGCUUCUGGAACAUUGAAACAGGUGCUGCUGGGUUGUCGACAGCUCUGCCUUGAAGAUGUUGGGUAAAGUCCCGUACCAGCGCAACCUUUGUCCUAAUUACCAAGCAUGUAAUGUGGGGACAUCUAAGGUGAACUGGCGGUGAACAACCGGAAGAAUGGCGGUGGAAUUACCUCCAGUACUACACUG
Molecule: ribosomal RNA, 647 nt
Filed under: Pseudomonas fluorescens
Lineage: Bacteria; Pseudomonadati; Pseudomonadota; Gammaproteobacteria; Pseudomonadales; Pseudomonadaceae
Description: bacterial SSU rRNA
Rfam family: Bacterial small subunit ribosomal RNA
Source: RNAcentral